RNAcentral lists this ribosomal RNA (541 nucleotides) under bacterium EP2.25. Its description in RNAcentral is "bacterial SSU rRNA". It matches the Rfam family "Bacterial small subunit ribosomal RNA", at positions 94 to 635 of the family's 1533-position model. The record is from RNAcentral.
AGUGGCGCACGGGUGCGUAACGCGUAUGCAACCUACCCCAUACUGGGGGAUAGCCCGGGGAAACCCGGAUUAAUACCCCAUGGUAAAUUGRAAUGGCAUCAUUUUAAUUUUAAAGAUUUAUUGGUAUGGGAUGGGCAUGCGUAGGAUUAGCUAGUUGGCGGGGUAACGGCCCACCAAGGCGACGAUCCUUAGGGGUUCUGAGAGGAAGGUCCCCCACACUGGCACUGAGAUACGGGCCAGACUCCUACGGGAGGCAGCAGUAGGGAAUAUUGGGCAAUGGGCGGAAGCCUGACCCAGCCAUGCCGCGUGCAGGAAGAAUGCCCUCUGGGUUGUAAACUGCUUUUAUCAGGGAAGAAAAGGCCCAUGCGUGGGACAUUGCCGGUACCUGAUGAAUAAGCACCGGCUAACUCCGUGCCAGCAGCCGCGGUAAUACGGAGGGUGCAAGCGUUGUCCGGAUUUAUUGGGUUUAAAGGGUGCGUAGGCUGCGGUUUAAGUCAGCGGUGAAAGUUUGGGCUCAACCUUAAAAACGCCGAUGAUACUG